Molecule: non-coding RNA, 383 nt
Organism: Leptonychotes weddellii (Weddell seal)
Lineage: Eukaryota; Metazoa; Chordata; Mammalia; Carnivora; Phocidae
Source: RefSeq, a predicted model, not a curated record
AUCACCCUGAACUCUUGCCUUUCUCCAGUGUGCUCUCCUUCAAAACAAUCUCUCCCAACUUCCUCCUCCUCCAUAUGGUCAACAUUACUUGAAGAUCAGAAGUGGGAUCCAGAAAAGACCCCCAAUAACUCUGAGGCUUGUGAGCAAACAGGUGCUGGGACCCACAGAGCUCACUGCUUUCUUGCUGACCCUGAAGUUUAAGGGUACUCUGGGGAAACAGGCUCCUGCCGGCAUUCUCAACAUCGGUGCCUGAGAACACGAAACACUAAGGUCUCCUGGUACAAUUUUGAAACUGACUCCAGGCUCUUCUCCACUUAACUCUUCUAUGAACCGGAUUUACCUCGAAAUUCUUGCUGGCCCCUGGUUCCAUCACACUGGGAAGA